This 476-nucleotide ribosomal RNA is filed under the name uncultured bacterium. RNAcentral describes it as "bacterial SSU rRNA". It matches the Rfam family "Bacterial small subunit ribosomal RNA", at positions 32 to 507 of the family's 1533-position model. The record is from RNAcentral.
AACGCUGGCGGCGUGCUUAACACAUGCAAGUCGAACGGAACUCUUUGGAUCAAGACUUCGGUCAAGUGAGAUUGAGUUAGUGGCGGACGGGUGAGUAACGCGUGAGGAACCUGCCUUUCAGAGGGGGGACAACAGUUGGAAACGACUGCUAAUACCGCAUAACGCGUAGAGAUCGCAUGGUCUUUACGCCAAAGAUUUAUCGCUGAGAGAUGGCCUCGCGUCUGAUUAGCUAGUUGGUGAGGUAACGGGCCCACCAAGGCAACGAUCAGUAGCCGGACUGAGAGGUUGACCGGCCACAUUGGGACUGAGAUACGGCCCAGACUCCUACGGGAGGCAGCAGUGGGAAUAUCGGGCAAUGGGCGCAAGCCUGACCCAGCAACGCCGCGUGAAGGAAGAAGGCUUUCGGGUUGUAAACUUCUUUUGUCGAGGAAGAGUAGAAGACUGUACUCGGCGAAUAAGCCACGGCUAACUACGUG